CCUACGGGUGGCAGCAGUGGGGAAUAUUGGACAAUGGGGGCAACCCUGAUCCAGCCAUGCCGCGUGUGUGAAGAAGGCCCUCGGGUUGUAAAGCACUUUCAGUGAGGAAGAACGCCUGGUGGUUAAUACCCAUCAGGAAAGACAUCACUCACAGAAGAAGCACCGGCUAACUCCAUGCCAGCAGCCGCGGUAAUACGGAGGGUGCGAGCGUUAAUCGGAAUUACUGGGCGUAAAGCGCGCGUAGGUGGCUUGAUAAGCCGGUUGUGAAAGCCCCGGGCUCAACCUGGGAACGGCAUCCGGAACUGUCAAGCUAGAGUGCAGGAGAGGAAGGUAGAAUUCCCGGUGUAGCGGUGAAAUGCGUAGAGAUCGGGAGGAAUACCAGUGGCGAAGGCGGCCUUCUGGACUGACACUGACACUGAGGUGCGAAAGCGUGGGUAGCAAACAGGAUUAGAUACCCCAGUAGUC
This 465-nucleotide ribosomal RNA is filed under the name Vreelandella stevensii. Its description in RNAcentral is "partial 16S ribosomal RNA". It matches the Rfam family "Bacterial small subunit ribosomal RNA", at positions 338 to 795 of the family's 1533-position model. The record is from RNAcentral. Lineage: Bacteria; Pseudomonadati; Pseudomonadota; Gammaproteobacteria; Oceanospirillales; Halomonadaceae.